AGUUUGAUCCUGGCUCAGGAUGAACGCUAGCGGCAGGCCUAAUACAUGCAAGUCGAACGGGAUUGGAGAGCUUGCUUUCCAUGAGAGUGGCGUACGGGUGCGUAACGCGUAUGCAACCUACCUUCAUCAGGGGGAUAGCCCGAAGAAAUUCGGAUUAACACCGCAUAACAUUAUUGGAUGGCAUCAUUUAAUAAUCAAAUAUUUAUAGGAUGAAGAUGGGCAUGCGUGUCAUUAGCUAGUUGGUGAGGUAACGGCUCACCAAGGCGACGAUGACUAGGGGAUCUGAGAGGAUGACCCCCCACACUGGUACUGAGACACGGACCAGACUCCUACGGGAGGCAGCAGUAAGGAAUAUUGGUCAAUGGAGGCAACUCUGAACCAGCCAUGCCGCGUGCAGGAAGACUGCCUUAUGGGUUGUAAACUGCUUUUAUACGGGAAUAAACCUUGAUUCGUGAAUCGAGCUGAAUGUACCGUAAGAAUAAGGAUCGGCUAACUCCGUGCCAGCAGCCGCGGUAAUACGGAGGAUCCAAGCGUUAUCCGGAUUUAUUGGGUUUAAAGGGAGCGUAGGCGGCCUAUUAAGUCAGGGGUGAAAGACGGUGGCUCAACCAUCGCAGUGCCUUUGAUACUGGUAGGCUUGAAUGUAGUUGAGGUAGGCGGAAUGUGACAAGUAGCGGUGAAAUGCAUAGAUAUGUCACAGAACACCGAUUGCGAAGGCAGCUUACUAAGCUAUGAUUGACGCUGAGGCUCGAAAGCGUGGGGAUCAAACAGGAUUAGAUACCCUGGUAGUCCACGCCCUAAACGAUGAUAACUCGAUGUUGGCGAUAUACAGUCAGCGUCCAAGCGAAAGCGUUAAGUCAUCCACCUGGGGAGUACGCCCGCAAGGGUGAAACUCAAAGGAAUUGACGGGGGCCCGCACAAGCGGAGGAGCAUGUGGUUUAAUUCGAUGAUACGCGAGGAACCUUACCCGGGCUUGAAAGUUACUGAAGGUACCAGAGACGGUACCGUCCUUCGGGACAGGAAACUAGGUGCUGCAUGGCUGUCGUCAGCUCGUG
Molecule: ribosomal RNA, 1052 nt
Filed under: uncultured bacterium
Lineage: Bacteria
Description: bacterial SSU rRNA
Rfam family: Bacterial small subunit ribosomal RNA
Source: RNAcentral